Dreissena polymorpha is the source of this 1047-nucleotide long non-coding RNA. RefSeq lists it as uncharacterized. The record is from RefSeq and is a predicted model, not a curated record. Lineage: Eukaryota; Metazoa; Mollusca; Bivalvia; Myida; Dreissenidae. The transcript has 3 exons.
CAUUUUGCAAUAACUUUUGCUAUAUUGAAUAUGGCAACUUGAUAUUUUGCAUGCAUGUGUAUCUCAUGGAGCUGCACAUUUUGAGUGGUGAAAGGUCAAGGUUAAGGUCAUCCUUCAAGGUCAGAGGUCAAAUAUAUGUGGCCCAAUUCGCUUAUUUUAUGAAUACUUUUGCAAUAUUUAAGAUAGCAACUUGAUAUUUGGCAUGCAUGUGUAUCUCAUGGAGCUGCACAUUUUGAGUGGUGAAAGGUCAAGGUCAAGGUCAUCCUGCAAGGUCAGAGGUCAAAUAUAUGUGGCCAAAAUCGCUCAUUUUAUGAAUACUUUUGCAAUAUUGAAGAUAGCAACUUGAUAUUUGGCAUGCAUGUGUAUCUCAUGGAGCUGCACAUUUUGAGUGGUGAAAAGUCAAGGUCAUCCUUCAAGGUCAGAGGUCAAAUAUAUGUUGCCCAAAUCGCUUAUUUUAUGAAUACUUUUGCAAUAUUUAAGAUAGCAACUUGAUAUUUGGCAUGCAUGUGUAUCUCAUGGAGCUGCACAUUUUGAGUGGUGAAAGGUCAAGGUCAUCCUUCAAGGUCAGAGGUCAAAUAUAUGUGGCCAAAAUCGCUCAUUUUAUGAGUACUUUUGCAAUAUUGAAGAUAGCAACUUGAUAUUUGGCAUGCAUGUGUAUCUCAUGGAGCUGCACAUUUUGAGUGGUGAAAGGUCAAGGUCAUCCUUCAAGGUCAGAGGUAAAAUAUAUGUGGCCCAAAUCGCAAAUUUUAUGAAUACUUUUGCAAUAUUGAAGAUAGCAACUUGAUAUUUGGCAUGCAUGUGUAUCUCAUGGAGCUGCACAUUUUUAGUGGUGAAAGGUCAAGGUCAAGGUCAUCCUUCAAGGUCAAAUAUAUGGGUCAAAAUUGCUCAUGUUAUGUCACUUCUGCAAUAUUGAAGCUUGCAAUUUUAUAUUUGAAAUGCAUGUGUAUCUCAUGGAGCUGCACAUUUUGAGUGGUGAAGAGUCAAGGUCAAGGCCAUCCUACAAGGUCAAACAUCAUAUAGGGGGACAUUGUGUUUCACAAACACAUC